UGAGAGGGUGACCGGCCACACUGGGACUGAGACACGGCCCAGACUCCUACGGGAGGCAGCAGUGGGGAAUAUUGCACAAUGGGCGAAAGCCUGAUGCAGCAACGCCGCGUGAGGGAUGAAGGCCUUCGGGUUGUAAACCUCUUUUAGUUGGGAAGAAGCGAAAGUGACGGUACCAACAGAAAAAGCACCGGCUAACUACGUGCCAGCAGCCGCGGUAAUACGUAGGGUGCAAGCGUUGUCCGGAAUUAUUGGGCGUAAAGAGCUCGUAGGCGGUUUGUCGCGUCUGCUGUGAAAAUCCGAGGCUCAACCUCGGACCUGCAGUGGGUACGGGCAAACUAGAGUGCGGUAGGGGAGAAGGGAAUUCCUGGUGUAGCGGUGGAAUGCGCAGAUAUCAGGAGGAACACCGAUGGCGAAGGCACUUCUCUGGGCCGUAACUGACGCUGAGGAGCGAAAGCGUGGGGAGCGAACAGGAUUAGAUACCCUGGUAGUCCACGCCGUAAACGGUGGGUGCUAGUUGUGGGCCACAUUCCACGUGGUCCGUGACGCAGCUAACGCAUUAAGCACCCC
This 567-nucleotide ribosomal RNA is filed under the name uncultured bacterium. RNAcentral's name for it is "bacterial SSU rRNA". It matches the Rfam family "Bacterial small subunit ribosomal RNA", at positions 293 to 870 of the family's 1533-position model. The record is from RNAcentral.